Molecule: ribosomal RNA, 267 nt
Filed under: uncultured bacterium
Lineage: Bacteria
Description: partial 16S ribosomal RNA
Rfam family: Bacterial small subunit ribosomal RNA
Source: RNAcentral
GUCCUGGCCCUAAACGGUGCACGUUUGCUGUAAGAGGAAUCGACCCCUCUUGUGGCGAAGCUAACGCGUUAAACGUGCCGCCUGGGAAGUACGGCCGCAAGGUUAAAACUCAAAGAAAUUGACGGGGGCCUGCACAAGCGGUGGAGUAUGUGGCUUAAUUCGAUGCAACGCGAAGAACCUUACCUGGCCUUGACAUGUACGUAGUAGAAGGGUGAAAGCCUGACGAGGUAGCAAUACCAGCGUACACAGGUGCUGCAUGGCUGUCGU